Molecule: unclassified non-coding RNA, 245 nt
Filed under: Hevea brasiliensis (rubber tree)
Lineage: Eukaryota; Viridiplantae; Streptophyta; Magnoliopsida; Malpighiales; Euphorbiaceae
Source: RNAcentral
ACGGCAUCCAGCCAGUCUUGUCAGGUGUUGCUGUUGGUUGUGGAUGGCAAGCUUUCGUUGCAUAUGUUAAUGUUGGUUGUUACUAUGUUAUCGGUGUCCCAGUUGGUGCAAUACUAGGCUUCAAAUUCAAUUUAGGAGCAAAGGGAAUCUGGAGUGGAAUGAUAGGAGGAACAGUUUUGCAGACAAUAAUUUUGGUGUGGGUUACGAUCCGCACUGACUGGAAUAAAGAGGUCCAAACAGCCCAG